CGCUAUCACUCCUACGGGAGGCAGCAGUGGGGAAUAUUGCACAAUGGGCGCAAGCCUGAUGCAGCCAUGCCGCGUGUAUGAAGAAGGCCUUCGGGUUGUAAAGUACUUUCAGCAGUGAGGAAGGCAGGUACGUUAAUAGCGUGCUUGUUUGACGUUACCUACAGAAGAAGCACCGGCUAACUCCGUGCCAGCAGCCGCGGUAAUACGGAGGGUGCGAGCGUUAAUCGGAAUUACUGGGCGUAAAGCGCAUGCAGGCGGCCUGUUAAGUCAGAUGUGAAAGCCCGGGGCUUAACCUCGGAAUUGCAUUUGAAACUGGCAGGCUAGAGUCUUGUAGAGGGGGUAGAAUUUCAGGUGUAGCGGUGAAAUGCGUAGAGAUCUGAAGGAAUACCAGUGGCGAAGGCGGCCCCCUGGACAAAGACUGACGCUCAGAUGCGAAAGCGUGGGGAGCAAACAGGAUUAGAUACCCUGGUAG
Molecule: ribosomal RNA, 472 nt
Filed under: uncultured bacterium
Lineage: Bacteria
Description: bacterial SSU rRNA
Rfam family: Bacterial small subunit ribosomal RNA
Source: RNAcentral